GACGAACGCUGGCGGCGUGCUUAACACAUGCAAGUCGAACGGAAAGGCCCUGCUUUUGUGGGGUGCUCGAGUGGCGAACGGGGGAGUAACACGUGAGUAACCUGCCCUUGAAUUUGGGAUAACAUCAGGAAAAUGGGGCUAAUAUCGGAUAGGAUCUCCUGCUGCGUGGGGGGGGUUGGAAAGUUUCGGCGGUUGGGGAUGGACUCGCGGCUUAUGAGCUAGUUGGUGGGGUAGUGGCUGACAAAGGCUUUGACGGGUAGCCGGCCUGGGAGGGUGACCGGCCACAAUGGGACUGAGAUACGGCGCAGUCUGCUACGGGAGGCAGCAGUCGGGAAUAUUGCACAAUGGGCGGAAGCCUGAUGCAGCAGCGCCGCGUGCGUGAUGACGGCCUUCGGGUUGUAAACCGCUUUCGCCUGAGACGAAGCGUGAGUGACGGUAAUGGGUAAAGAAGCACCGGCUAACUACGUG
Molecule: ribosomal RNA, 468 nt
Filed under: uncultured bacterium
Lineage: Bacteria
Description: partial 16S ribosomal RNA
Rfam family: Bacterial small subunit ribosomal RNA
Source: RNAcentral